Molecule: ribosomal RNA, 253 nt
Filed under: uncultured bacterium
Lineage: Bacteria
Description: partial 16S ribosomal RNA
Rfam family: Bacterial small subunit ribosomal RNA
Source: RNAcentral
UACAGAGGUCUCAAGCGUUGUUCGGAUUCAUUGGGCGUAAAGGGUGCGUAGGCGGCGCGGUAAGUCGGGUGUGAAAUCUCGGGGCUUAACUCCGAAACUGCAUUCGAUACUGCCGUGCUUGAGGACUGGAGAGGAGACUGGAAUUUACGGUGUAGCGGUGAAAUGCGUAGAUAUCGUAAGGAAGACCAGUGGCGAAGGCGGGUCUCUGGACAGUUCCUGGCGCUGAGGCACGAAAGCUAGGGUAGCAAACGGG